GAUGAACGCUAGCGAUAGGCUUAACACAUGCAAGUCGAGGGGCAGCACAAGGUAGUUUGCUCUCUGGGUGGCGACCGGCGCACGGGUGCGUAACGCGUAUGCAACUUGCCCUAUACAGGAGGAUAACCCGUCGAAAGACGGACUAAUACUGCGUAUGCUCACAACUUGGCAUCAAGUGGUGAGGAAAGAAAUUCGGUAUAGGAUAGGCAUGCGUCCCAUUAGCUUGUUGGUGAGGUAACGGCUCACCAAGACAACGAUGGGUAGGGGAACUGAGAGGUUUAUCCCCCACACUGGUACUGAGACACGGACCAGACUCCUACGGGAGGCAGCAGUGAGGAAUAUUGGUCAAUGGGCGCGAGCCUGAACCAGCCAAGUCGCGUGAAGGAUGACUGUCUUAUGGAUUGUAAACUUCUUUUAUACGGGAAUAACAAGAGUCACGUGUGACUCCCUGCAUGUACCGUAUGAAUAAGCAUCGGCUAACUCCGUG
RNAcentral lists this ribosomal RNA (487 nucleotides) under uncultured bacterium. RNAcentral's name for it is "partial 16S ribosomal RNA". It matches the Rfam family "Bacterial small subunit ribosomal RNA", at positions 28 to 507 of the family's 1533-position model. The record is from RNAcentral.